UAACCAUGACCUGACCCUAUUCGUACGGGGUUAGUAUCAUCUGGGGACCUCGUGUGAUUUAGAAAUCUCCCCCUCCACAUCUGAGUUUCGUGUGGCGCACUCGCAAAGGAUAAGCAAAGCACGCUUUUACACAAAUGUAAUGACAUAUCUGUACCCAGAGAGUUGAACACCCGGUGGAGCGCGGAA
Molecule: long non-coding RNA, 186 nt
Organism: Etheostoma spectabile (orangethroat darter)
Lineage: Eukaryota; Metazoa; Chordata; Actinopteri; Perciformes; Percidae
Exons: 3
Source: RefSeq, a predicted model, not a curated record